Molecule: ribosomal RNA, 369 nt
Filed under: uncultured bacterium
Lineage: Bacteria
Description: bacterial SSU rRNA
Rfam family: Bacterial small subunit ribosomal RNA
Source: RNAcentral
GACGAACGCUGGCGGCGUGCCUAACACAUGCAAGUUGAGCGACGAACCAGGGCUUGCCCUGGGGCAAAGCAGCGAACGGGUGAGUAACACGUGGGUAACCUGCCCCGAUUACCGGGACAACCCGAGGAAACUCGGGCUAAUACCGGAUGUGCUCGUCAGACCCAAGUCUGACGCGUAAAGGAAGCUUCGGCCUCCGAAUUGGGAGGGCCCGUGGCCCAUUAGCUAGUUGGUGAGGUAACGGCUCACCAAGGCAUCGAUGGGUAGCUGGUCUGAGAGGACGAUCAGCCACACUGGGACUGAGACACGGCCCAGACUCCUACGGGAGGCAGCAGUGGGGAAUCUUGCGCAAUGCGCGAAUGCGUGACGCAG